GACGAACGCUGGCGGCGUGCUUAACACAUGCAAGUCGAACGGAAAGGCCCUACUUUUGUGGGGUGCUCGAGUGGCGAAAGGGUGAGUAACACGUGAGUAACCUGCCCUUGACUUUGGUAUAACUUCAGGAAACUGGGGCUAAUACCGGAUAGGAGCUCCUGCUGCAUGGUGGGGGUUGGAAAGUUUCGGCGGUUGGGGAUGGACUCGCGGCUUAUCAGCUUGUUGGUGGGGUAGUGGCUUACCAAGGCUUUGACGGGUAGCCGGCCUGAGAGGGUGACCGGCCACAUUGGGACUGAGAUGCGGCCCAGACUCCUACGGGAGGCAGCAGUGGGGAAUAUUGCACAAUGGGCGGAAGCCUGAUGCAGCAACGCCGCGUGCGGGAUGACGGCCUUCGGGUUGUAAACCGCUUUCGCCUGUGACGAAGCGUGAGUGACGGUAAUGGGUAAAGAAGCACCGGCUAACUACGUG
This 468-nucleotide ribosomal RNA is filed under the name uncultured bacterium. RNAcentral describes it as "partial 16S ribosomal RNA". It matches the Rfam family "Bacterial small subunit ribosomal RNA", at positions 28 to 507 of the family's 1533-position model. The record is from RNAcentral.